Biomphalaria pfeifferi is the source of this 343-nucleotide non-coding RNA. Lineage: Eukaryota; Metazoa; Mollusca; Gastropoda; Planorbidae. The record is from the annotation of a GenBank genome assembly.
CCCCCCCCCCCCGGGCCCCCAAACGAUGGAAAAUUCCUAGCUACACCCCUGGUUCAUCGCGACAGAAGGCUCAAAUAGAUUUGUAUUACAUGUUACAUUCCAUGUUGACUAUACUAGAAUUGAAUGUUGUGAAAGCUAUUUUUAGUUUAGACGUGACGCCAUUCGUUCCUCUGUGUUUAUUAGUUUUAGAUACACAUUGUAUGUUUCUUAACAUCCUGAAACAUUAUGACAUAUACUGUAUGAACAUUGUGCUUAGUUUGUUACUUUGUGUGUGGUGUGUAAAUGCAGUGCGGGUGUUUUUUUUUAUAUGACAAUGCAAUAAACACAUGUUUUUUUUUUCUAA